RNAcentral lists this ribosomal RNA (484 nucleotides) under uncultured bacterium. RNAcentral's name for it is "partial 16S ribosomal RNA". It matches the Rfam family "Bacterial small subunit ribosomal RNA", at positions 899 to 1397 of the family's 1533-position model. The record is from RNAcentral.
ACUCAAAUGAAUAGACGGGGGCCCGCACAAGCAGCGGAGCGUGUGGUUUAAUUCGACGCAACGCGAAGAACCUUACCCAGGUUUGACAUGUACCUGCAGAGCCGUCAAAGCGGCUGGCCUUCGAGGGUGGUACACAGGUGCUGCAUGGUUGUCGUCAGCUCGUGUCGUGAGAUGUUGGGUUAAGUCCCGCAACGAGCGCAACCCCUGCCGGUAGUUAUUAGUGUCUACCGGGACAGCCGCCUUGAUGGGCGGAGGAAGGCGGGGAUGACGUCAAAUCCGCAUGGCCCUUACGCCUGGGGCGACACACACGCUACAAUGGCCGGGACAGCGCGUCGCUAAGCCGCAAGGUGGAGCAAAUCGUCCAAACCCGGUCCCAGUGCAGAUCGGGGGCUGCAACUCGCCCCCGUGAAGGCGGAGUUGCUAGUAACCGCGUAUCAGCCAUGGCGCGGUGAAUCCGUUCCCGGGCCUUGUACACACCGCCCGU